GACGAACGCUGGCGGCGUGCUUAACACAUGCAAGUCGAACGGAAAGGCCCUGCUUUUGUGGGGUGCUCGAGUGGCGAACGGGUGAGUAACACGUGAGUAACCUGCCCUUGACUUUGGGAUAACUUCAGGAAACUGGGGCUAAUACCGGAUAGGAGCUCCUGCUGCAUGGUGGGGGUUGGAAAGUUUCGGCGGUUGGGGAUGGACUCGCGGCUUAUCAGCUUGUUGGUGGGGUAGUGGCUUACCAAGGCUUUGACGGGUAGCCGGCCUGAGAGGGUGACCGGCCACAUUGGGACUGAGAUACGGCCCAGACUCCUACGGGAGGCAGCAGUGGGGAAUAUUGCACAAUGGGCGGAAGCCUGAUGCAGCAACGCCGCGUGCGGGAUGACGGCCUUCGGGUUUUAAACCGCUUUCGCCUGUGACGAAGCGUGAGUGACGGUAAUGGGUAAAGAAGCACCGGCUAACUACGUG
This 468-nucleotide ribosomal RNA is filed under the name uncultured bacterium. RNAcentral describes it as "partial 16S ribosomal RNA". It matches the Rfam family "Bacterial small subunit ribosomal RNA", at positions 28 to 507 of the family's 1533-position model. The record is from RNAcentral.